AGAGUUUGAUCAUGGCUCAGGACUAACGCUGGCGGCGUGCCUAACACAUGCAAGUCGAACGGACUGUAGCAAUACAGUUAGUGGCAGACGGGUGAGUAACACGUAGAUAACCUACCCCUCCGUUGGGGAUAGCCACUGGAAACGGUGGGUAAAACCGAAUAUUCUCGCUUGAAGGCAUCUUCGGGUGAGGAAAACCUCGGUGUGGAGGGAUGGGUUUGCGACCUAUCAGCUAGUUGGUGAGGUAAUGGCUCACCAAGGCGUCGACGGGUAACCGGUCUGAGAGGACGGUCGGUCACACUGGCACUGAGAUACGGGCCAGACUCCUACGGGAGGCAGCAGUGAGGGAUUUUGCACAAUGGAGGAAACUCUGAUGCAGCGACGCCGCGUGCGGGGUGAAGCCUUUCGGGGUGUAAACCGCUGUCAGUGGGGAAGAGUAUGGACGGUACCCACUGAGGAAGCAUCGGCUAACUACGUGCCAGCAGCCGCGGUAAGACGUAGGGUGCAAGCGUUGUCCGGAAUCACUGGGCGUAAAGAGCUCGUAGGCGGGGUCGUGCGUCGUGGAGUAAAUCUCUCUGCUUAACGGAGAGUUCUUCUGCGAUACGGCGACUCUUGAGGACAGGAGAGGAAAGCGGAAUUCCGAGUGUAGCGGUGAAAUGCGUAGAUAUUCGGAGGAACACCAGUGGCGAAGGCGGCUUUCUGGCCUGAUUCUGACGCUGAGGAGCGAAAGCCAGGGUAGCGAACGGGAUUAGAUACCCCCGUAGUCC
This 764-nucleotide ribosomal RNA is filed under the name uncultured bacterium. RNAcentral's name for it is "bacterial SSU rRNA". It matches the Rfam family "Bacterial small subunit ribosomal RNA", at positions 8 to 796 of the family's 1533-position model. The record is from RNAcentral.